Non-coding RNA from Paramuricea clavata, 399 nucleotides. The record is from the annotation of a GenBank genome assembly. Lineage: Eukaryota; Metazoa; Cnidaria; Anthozoa; Malacalcyonacea; Plexauridae.
GUUCCGAAAUAUCACUUACUCGAACCGUCCUGACCGCGUAGCUCAGUUGGAAGAGCAUUGGGCUAGUAUUCCAAAGGUCGUAGGUUCGAAUCCCACCGUGGCCGGGCAUAUUUUUCAAGCUCGCCCGGUGUGGACAUGCACUCAGAGUAACAUCGCAAACAUAUUAUUCACCUGAGUACACAACACCAGCACAGAAAAAAUUCAUAUUACAAGAACACAUUGGUAUUGAAGGAACUAGAUACUGUUCCGAAAUAUCACUUACUCGAACCGUCCUGACCGCGUAGCUCAGUUGGAAGAGCAUUGGGCUAGUAUUCCAAAGCUCGUAGGUUCGAAUCCCACCGUGGCCGGGCAUAUUUUUCAAGCUCGCCCGGUGUGGAUAUGCACUCAGAGUAACAUCGC